Molecule: transfer RNA, 90 nt
Rfam family: tRNA
About the family: Transfer RNA (tRNA) molecules are approximately 80 nucleotides in length. Their secondary structure includes four short double-helical elements and three loops (D, anti-codon, and T loops). Further hydrogen bonds mediate the characteristic L-shaped molecular structure. tRNAs have two regions of fundamental functional importance: the anti-codon, which is responsible for specific mRNA codon recognition, and the 3' end, to which the tRNAs corresponding amino acid is attached (by aminoacyl-tRNA synthetases). tRNAs cope with the degeneracy of the genetic code in two manners: having more than one tRNA (with a specific anti-codon) for a particular amino acid; and 'wobble' base-pairing, i.e. permitting non-standard base-pairing at the 3rd anti-codon position.
GGGCGAGUGGUGGAAUUGGUAGACACGCAAGGUUGAGGGCCUUGUCCUGGUUUUUUCGGGGUGGAGGUUCAAAUCCUCUUUCGCCCACCA